UCAAAAUAUUAUUUUAUAAAAAUUAUGGAUAUGUUUCUCAUCUAAUAUAAAACGGUUGUGGUUAAUUUUUCUCUACGGAUACAUUCUAGAAGUUUCCAGCCCUAAAGUAAAGUAAAGUAAAUGAGGGGGUGGGAGGCGGAAAAAGAGGGACACAGCCACCGCGACGGUGAGAGGGAGAGGCCGAGAUGAUGGCCAAGUGAUACACAAUAAGCCAAUAAUCAAUUUUCUGCAUUUUGGAGUAUUUUUUCGUGACAAGAAGUUGAAGAAGGUUAGGUACUUAUUUGGUGUGCAGUUAUUUUCACCCCUUUUGAUGUGUUUUAUACUUCUAAGUUUGUUUUCCUUUACUUCAUGAUUUAAGUUGGGCUAUAUUUAUAAGUUUUUCCAUUUAUCUGUAAUAUAACUACAAAAUGUUUAUUUUUUUCUACAAAUUAACUUUUGUUCAUUUUUCUUACUGCACCUAAUUUUGUACUGUGUUGUGCUAUCUUUUUUAGCUACAUUUACAAAAUCUACACCACAUAGUUAUAACCACUUCUUAAUUUAAUAAUUUAUCUACCAAGGAAAGAGUCAAUGACAUUCUCAUUACUAAUCAUGACUUAUGGCUCAAGGAAAAAAAAAAAAAAAAAAAGUAUACCAGCAUCAAGAUAAGCCCCCUCGGAAAGCUAUGAAGCAUGUAUACUGACAUGUACACUAGACACGGCACUGACACCAGUAAUAAUUUAAGAAAAUGGUUUAAUUGAAUGUAAUCAAAGUGUCGGUGGUGUGUUGGUGUCUGACACCGACACGUGCUGGACAUCGAGACACGCCUUAUUUCAGAAGUGUCGGUGCAAUAGAGCAUAUGACAUAAUCUGGCAUCUAUCCCAUUUUAUUGAAUAAAAUAAACAAGUUCCAAUCAUGAAUGUCAUCUUCCAAUCUACCCUUUAACCCCAAAUUGCACUUUCAUUCUUCCCAAACAUAUUGCACUCUAUUGAUGUUGAAAAAGCUCAUGAAGAUAGCAAGUGAGGAUAAGUUGCAAAAUAGAAAAGCAAGUGAACUGAUGCAACUACCACAAAUGUAAUGUUCAAAGAGGUUUUCAAAAACCUCUUACAAGUAAAUAUUACUUUCACUUCCAAAUAAACUUGUUCUAUUAACAUUUAAUAUAAAAAUCAAGUAUACUUAUUUUGAAAUUCA
Molecule: long non-coding RNA, 1167 nt
Organism: Cicer arietinum (chickpea)
Lineage: Eukaryota; Viridiplantae; Streptophyta; Magnoliopsida; Fabales; Fabaceae
Source: RefSeq, a predicted model, not a curated record